GUGAGCGAAUGAGCCGCAGGGGGACAGUGAGUGAGCGAGCUGCAGGGGGGAGAGCGAGCGAGCUGCGUGGGGCAAGAACGAGCGAGCUGCGGAGGGAGAGCGAGUGAGAGCGCUGUGGAGAGAUGCCACAGGCUCAGUGCACAACUGCACAGAUGCUCUGUGCGGGGUCAGCUAGUAUAAUACUACUUUAAGAGAGCUUUAGAUGUCUUCAGGGAUGAGAUGCAAAAAUCUGAUUCUAUAUAUGCCUACUCAGAUGCAAGUCGCACUGUGUUAGAUAGGCUCAGUCUCAUGUAAAUGUGUACAGGACUGCAGUCAUGGCCUAGGACUGGCAUUGUUGGGCAGCUGUCAACGACCCAUUACUGAUCCCUUAGACCACCUCUGUGCCCACGUGGUGGCAAUUCAGCAUCUCUCUGGGGAUACGGUGCGGCCACACUAUGGUGGCCAAACUAUGGUGCGGCCACAUCUGGAGUACUGUGUACAAUUCUGGUCACCACAUCUAAAAAAGGACAUUGUAAAACUGGAAAAGGUGCAGAAGAGGGCAACCAAGAUGAUCAGGGGCCUAGAGCACCUUCCUUAUGAGAGCAGAAGAUUGAAGUUUUUAUCUGCAGCUCCUGCCACUGCCACUCUGCUGUGCCAAGAAGCAAGAAGGCCUGCAAGGCACUUUUCUGAUUAAGCUUGUGACUGACGCUUGGCAGGUUAAAAUUUCCAUUUUCGCACUUGGAUGAAGCUCACUGAAGUAGAGAUUAUGGAGAUAGUGACAGUGAAUUUUUACAGAGGUAUCUUUCUACCUCUUCAGUCUGUCACAACAGAAUAAAAAUACAAAGGAGUUUCUCUUUAAGAGAUUGUUCAUCAGCUGGGUAUAUCAGCAUCAAGACUGGAAAAGGUAACUGCUUUUGUGCAUCACUGCAAUAAAAGAGUGCUACAUA
This is a long non-coding RNA of Hemicordylus capensis (graceful crag lizard), 926 nucleotides long. RefSeq lists it as uncharacterized. The record is from RefSeq and is a predicted model, not a curated record. The transcript is spliced from 3 exons. Lineage: Eukaryota; Metazoa; Chordata; Lepidosauria; Squamata; Cordylidae.